CCAUGCAAUGUCUAAUUACCCAGUGCUGAUCACCCUGGAGAAUAAUUGCAGCCACUGGAAGUGCUCCGAAUUGGCGCAAAUACUUCUUGAAGAACUUGGAGAAAAGCUUUUUGUUCCUCCAGAAGAAGUCAGGGAAUCAUGGCUGUCCCCAGCUGCGCUUCGAGGAAAGAUUUUGAUUCGCAGCAAACUCAAAUAUCGUGAGGUAAGUUCGUCAUUCACAUAGAACCUUAUUGGAAUUUAUUAUGUGAACAUGCCUGCCAUCUAACAGGAAAGUCGUGUGAAUUCCUCGUGCUGGUGUUCGAGUAGUUCUGGGAAAAACACCGCAAAUACAGACUGCGCGGCGCACCUUAAAUUGCUAGCUUGGGAUCGUUCAGCAGUAGAUGCUGUUCAGAAAAUUAUAGAUCGGUGCUUUCCAGUAUGCGGGGCACAAAACGUGCGUUCCUGCGCACUUUCUCCAUCAGAUGAAACAAAUACUUCGGCAACCUCGGCAACAGAGUUUUCCUCACUGGUGUACGUCGAAAAUGUGAAGUUGCCAACUCCCCAUCAGUCCACUUCACUGAAAUCACUGCACUCCUGCUCAUGGAGCGAAUCAAAGCUUGUGAGUCAAGUUGAAGAAAUUGGUAGGGAGCUGAUUGCCGGAUUUGCAAAGCGGCAUAUGUUGAGGUGCUACCCAUCUGCAAAAAGAAUCACGUCAGAUAAUUACGACCCGUCUCUUGCAUGGUCUGUCGGAGCGCAGAUGGCUGCCCUGAACUUUCAGGCUGAUGACAUUUCGAUGUGGAUAAACCGGGGUAAGUUUCUGGCAAACGGGGGUUGCGGGUUUGUACGAAAGCCAGAAUAUCUCAUCGGCUCCAAGCUUGGUCCACCAAAUGUUCCUGCUUGUACGCUCAAUAUCACUGUCGUGGCCUGUUCUGGCUGGACCACUUUCGAAAGAUUCCACUCGUACGAAACACCAACGACCUACAUUCGAGUUAGUUUGGCUGGAAGCAUUCUGGACAAUAAAUCGUGUGUAACUUCUGCCUUCAGCAAACGCAAACAGUUCGGACCUUACGCGCAGCCAUUUUUCAACGAGACCUUUUCGUUUGAUAUUUUUGAGCCAAGACUUUCGACGCUUCUAUUUUCUGUACAUGCUAAGGAAUCUACUGCACACGAUGCUUUCGUAGCACAGAGCUGUUUCCCUGUAACCUUACUUCGUCCAGGCACACGACUUGUACCUUUGUAUGAUCAGUACGGCAAGUACGUUGGUGAGGCCGGUCCGCUGUGCGCGCGUGACCUAUUUCUUCAUAUGCUAUUGUUCCACGUCUUAUCCGAGAUAGUCUCUACUGAUUCUUGGACUUCU
This 1336-nucleotide long non-coding RNA is filed under the name Micromonas commoda. RNAcentral describes it as "long non-coding RNA (MCOM_LNC000055)". The record is from RNAcentral. Lineage: Eukaryota; Viridiplantae; Chlorophyta; Mamiellophyceae; Mamiellales; Mamiellaceae.